RNAcentral lists this ribosomal RNA (305 nucleotides) under uncultured bacterium. Its description in RNAcentral is "bacterial SSU rRNA". It matches the Rfam family "Bacterial small subunit ribosomal RNA", at positions 337 to 640 of the family's 1533-position model. The record is from RNAcentral.
GCCUACGGGGGGCAGCAGUGAGGAAUAUUGGUCAAUGGUCGGGAGACUGAACCAGCCAAGCCGCGUGAGGGAUGAAGGUACAGAGUAUCGUAAACCUCUUUUGUCAGGGAACAAAGGCGGGGACGCGUCCCCGGAUGAGUGUACCUGAAGAAAAAGCAUCGGCUAACUCCGUGCCAGCAGCCGCGGUAAUACGGAGGACGCGAGCGUUAUCCGGAUUUAUUGGGUUUAAAGGGUGCGCAGGCGGGAGCGCAUGUCAGCGGUAAAAUUGAGAGGCUCAACUUCUUCCCGCCGUUGAAACGUCGUUU